CCUACGGGAGGCAGCAGUAGGGAAUAUUGGGCAAUGGAGGCAACUCUGACCCAGCCAUGCCGCGUGCAGGAAGAAGGCGUUAUGCGUUGUAAACUGCUUUUAUAUAGGAAGAAAUAGACCUUGCGAGGUAAGUUGACGGUACUAUAUGAAUAAGCACCGGCUAACUCCGUGCCAGCAGCCGCGGUAAUACGGAGGGUGCAAGCGUUGUCCGGAUUUAUUGGGUUUAAAGGGUGCGUAGGCGGUUUAUUAAGUCAGUGGUGAAAGACGGUCGCUCAACGAUUGCAGUGCCAUUGAUACUGGUAGACUUGAGUGGGAUUGAGGUAGCUGGAAUGGAUAGUGUAGCGGUGAAAUGCAUAGAUAUUAUCCAGAACACCAAUUGCGUAGGCAAGUUACUAAGUCUCAACUGACGCUGAGGCACGAAAGUGUGGGUAUCAAACAGGAUUAGAUACCCUGGUAGUCCACACUGUAAACGAUGAUAACUAACUGUUGGCUUUCGAGUCAGUGGUACAGAGAAAUCGUUAAGUUAUCCCACCUGGGAGGUACGCCGGCGACGGUAGAACGUACGAAAGAAGUAGUAGACGNGNGAGAGACGACGACGACGACGAGGAGGGAGGAGG
Molecule: ribosomal RNA, 617 nt
Filed under: uncultured bacterium
Lineage: Bacteria
Description: bacterial SSU rRNA
Rfam family: Bacterial small subunit ribosomal RNA
Source: RNAcentral